This 77-nucleotide transfer RNA is filed under the name Burkholderiaceae bacterium. RNAcentral describes it as "tRNA-Glu". It matches the Rfam family "tRNA". From Rfam's summary of the family: Transfer RNA (tRNA) molecules are approximately 80 nucleotides in length. Their secondary structure includes four short double-helical elements and three loops (D, anti-codon, and T loops). Further hydrogen bonds mediate the characteristic L-shaped molecular structure. tRNAs have two regions of fundamental functional importance: the anti-codon, which is responsible for specific mRNA codon recognition, and the 3' end, to which the tRNAs corresponding amino acid is attached (by aminoacyl-tRNA synthetases). tRNAs cope with the degeneracy of the genetic code in two manners: having more than one tRNA (with a specific anti-codon) for a particular amino acid; and 'wobble' base-pairing, i.e. permitting non-standard base-pairing at the 3rd anti-codon position. The record is from RNAcentral. Lineage: Bacteria; Pseudomonadati; Pseudomonadota; Betaproteobacteria; Burkholderiales; Burkholderiaceae.
GUCGCGUUCGUCUAGCGGCUCAGGACACGAGGUUUUCAUCCUCGUAGACGCGGGUUCGAAUCCCGGACGCGACUCCA